This 505-nucleotide ribosomal RNA is filed under the name uncultured bacterium. RNAcentral describes it as "partial 16S ribosomal RNA". It matches the Rfam family "Bacterial small subunit ribosomal RNA", at positions 28 to 507 of the family's 1533-position model. The record is from RNAcentral.
GACGAACGCUGGCGGCGUGCCUAAUACAUGCAAGUAGAACGCACAGUUUAUACCGUAGCUCGCUACACCAUACACUGUGAGUUGCGAACGGGUGAGUAACGCGUAGGUAACCUGCCUGGUAGCGGGGGAUAACUAUUGGAAACGAUAGCUAAUACCGCAUAAUAUUGAUUAUUGCAUGAUAAUUGAUUGAAAGAUGCUAUUGCAUCACUACCAGAUGGACCUGCGUUGUAUUAGCUAGUAGGUGAGGUAACGGCUCACCUAGGCGACGAUACAUAGCCGACCUGAGAGGGUGAUCGGCCACACUGGGACUGGGACACGGCCCAGACUCCUACGGGAGGCAGCAGUAGGGAAUCUUCGGCAAUGGACGAAAGUCUGACCGAGCAACGCCGCGUGAGUGAAGAAGGUUUUCGGAUCGUAAAGCUCUGUUGUAAGAGAAGAACGGGUGUGAGAGUGGAAAGUUCACACUGUGACGGUAUCUUACCAGAAAGGGACGGCUAACUACGUG